GACGAACGCUGGCGGCGUGCCUAACACAUGCAAGUCGAACGGAGCUGUUUUGGACGGAGACUUCGGUCAAAGACCAUAACAGCUUAGUGGCGGACGGGUGAGUAACGCGUGAGUAACCUGCCGUUCAGAGGGGGACAACAGUUGGAAACGACUGCUAAUACCGCAUAAGCGCACGGUAUCGCAUGAUACAGUGUGAAAAACUCCGGUGGUAUAAGAUGGACCCGCGUCUGAUUAGCUAGUUGGUGAGGUAACGGCCCACCAAGGCGACGAUCAGUAGCCGGCCUGAGAGGGUGAACGGCCACAUUGGGACUGAGACACGGCCCAAACUCCUACGGGAGGCAGCAGUGGGGAAUAUUGCACAAUGGGGGAAACCCUGAUGCAGCGACGCCGCGUGAGUGAUGAAGUAUUUCGGUAUGUAAAACUCUAUCAGCAGGGAAGAUAAUGACGGUACUGACUAAGAAGCACCGGCUAAAAUACGUAGCCAGCAGCCG
This 491-nucleotide ribosomal RNA is filed under the name uncultured bacterium. RNAcentral describes it as "bacterial SSU rRNA". It matches the Rfam family "Bacterial small subunit ribosomal RNA", at positions 28 to 517 of the family's 1533-position model. The record is from RNAcentral.